UUAACUUAUUGUUUAAUUUAACUUAUUAUAAAUUUAUAACAGAAAUGGAGUUGUCUAAGUAUCAAAAGAUCUUUAUCCUUUUUGCAUAACGGAUUAACUAGAAUUAUCUAAGUUUUAGAGUUCCCGAAAGUAGAAGAUCUAACUUUUUUCUUGUUUUAGAAAAUAACUAAUUAUGUCGAAUUAUAAUUAUAAGAUGAAAUGUUAGGGGCGAAAAACCUACAAUUCUACUAAUAUCUGGAUUUGAAGUAAAAGUAUUUAGUACUUAGAACAAGUAUGGAGCUUUGAGGCUCUAUACAUGAAGGAUUUUUAGUUUUUUAGUCUAAAUUAGAAUUAAUAGUUCUCGUUUAAAUUGAAAACCAUAAUUUAUUUUAUAUUUAAUCUUUUUUAUGCUUCAUAUAUGAUUUUAAUUAUUUAGUUGUUUUAAAAUGUUAAUAUUAGUAAUAACUUUUAAUGUCUAGAAAAUAUAAGUAAAGGAACUCGGCAAAUUUUAACUUUAACUGUUUACCAAAAACAUAGCUUUAAGUUUUAUUUAAAGUGAGACCUGCCCAGUGCUAAUUAGUAAACGGCCGCAGUACCUUGACUGUGCUAAGGUAGCAUAAUCAGUUGGCUUUUAAAUGGAGUCGGGAAUGAAUGGAUUAAUAGGGUUAAGCUGUCUCUACUAUAUUAAAUUGAACUUACUUAUUAGGUGAAAAUGCCUAAGUUGUAAAAGAAAAAAGACGAGAAGACCCUAGGAGUUUUAACUAGAUGCUAUUUAUUAUAGUUAAUGUUUUUGUUGGGGCGACAUUGGAACAAUUUUAUUUAACUUCCUUUAUGUUUAUAGGCCGACUUUGUAUGUAAAUCUAAACUACCCUAGGGAUAACAGCGUAAUUCUUUUUGAGCUUGCGACCUCGAUGUUGGACUAGGAAUUUGGUGGGCUAGCCGCCUAUUUAUAUUGUUCUGUUCGAACUGUUUUUCCU
RNAcentral lists this ribosomal RNA (956 nucleotides) under Plakobranchus ocellatus. Its description in RNAcentral is "partial 16S ribosomal RNA". The stretch from base 490 to 646 matches the Rfam family "Archaeal large subunit ribosomal RNA", at positions 1884 to 2089 of the family's 2987-position model. Lineage: Eukaryota; Metazoa; Mollusca; Gastropoda; Plakobranchidae. The record is from RNAcentral.